Molecule: ribosomal RNA, 438 nt
Filed under: uncultured bacterium
Lineage: Bacteria
Description: partial 16S ribosomal RNA
Rfam family: Bacterial small subunit ribosomal RNA
Source: RNAcentral
CUACGGGUUGCAGCAGUGAGGAAUUUUGCGCAAUGGAGGAAACUCUGACGCAGCGACGCCUCGUGAAUGAUGACGUCCUUCGGGAUGUAAAGUUCUGUCAGUGGGGAAGAUAAUGACGGUACCCACAGAGGAAGCACCGGCUAACUACGUGCCAGCAGCCGCGGUAAUACGUAGGGUGCAAGCGUUAUCCGGAAUUACUGGGCGUAAAGGGAGCGUAGGCGGUUAGGUAAGUUAGGUGUGAAAGAUAUAGGCUUAACCUGUAUUUGCGCCUAAAACUGCUUAGCUAGAGGAUGCUAGAGGAAAGCGGAACUCGCGGUGUAGCGGUGAAAUGCGUAGAUAUCGCGAGGAACACCAGUGGCGAAGGCGGCUUUCUGGGGCAUACCUGACGCUGAGGCUCGAAAGCGUGGGGAGCAAACAGGAUUAGAUACCCGUGUAGUC